RNAcentral lists this ribosomal RNA (154 nucleotides) under Salmonella enterica subsp. enterica serovar Anatum. Its description in RNAcentral is "partial 23S ribosomal RNA". It matches the Rfam family "Bacterial large subunit ribosomal RNA", at positions 1 to 166 of the family's 2925-position model. The record is from RNAcentral. Lineage: Bacteria; Pseudomonadati; Pseudomonadota; Gammaproteobacteria; Enterobacterales; Enterobacteriaceae.
GGGGAAACACUGAAGAUCAACAUCCUUGUCAGAGGCGAUGAAGGGCGUGCUAAUCUGCGAUAAGCGCCGGUAAGGUGAUAUGAACCGUUAUAACCGGCGAUACCCGAAUGGGGAAACCCAGUGUGAUUCGUCACACUAUCAUUAACUGAAUCCA